GCUAACACUACAUGCAAUAAAAACGCCAACACUACAUACAAAAAUACCUUUGUAUUAAAAACGCCAACAUUGUGUAUAUACACAUUCACACACACACACAUUUAAACACCAAAACUACACACAAAUACACUGCUUCAUUCAAACACACCCCUGCAUUCCAACCCACUACACACAAGUAUGCCUGCUUUUAAGUGGCAACAGUACAUACAAACAACAGCAUUCAAAUGCAAACAUUACGCACAACGUAAGAUUGAGAAACACAUUCAAACACACAAGAACUGACCACAAUUAAAAUCCUGCAAGGAUGGUCAAAUUGUAGAUUCUGUGUUACAUGUACAAUAGAUGGGAAUCUACAUUUUGACCAACCUUGCGCAGGUAAGGUGCAAAAACAAAUUAUUGCACCAGGGCCCUCUCUACAUUAGUUUCGUCACUUCUGGGAGGUUUAAC
Molecule: non-coding RNA, 447 nt
Organism: Pelobates cultripes (western spadefoot toad)
Lineage: Eukaryota; Metazoa; Chordata; Amphibia; Anura; Pelobatidae
Source: the annotation of a GenBank genome assembly